Haliotis rubra (blacklip abalone) is the source of this 360-nucleotide long non-coding RNA. RefSeq lists it as uncharacterized. The transcript is spliced from 3 exons. The record is from RefSeq and is a predicted model, not a curated record. Lineage: Eukaryota; Metazoa; Mollusca; Gastropoda; Lepetellida; Haliotidae.
GGGGUCCAACCGCACACUCUGUUCUUUGGAACCCAAUGAUCAGGCCUCUACUUGGUCUUACCAUAUAUGGAGUCAUAUGGUACCAAGGUGAAAAUAACGCUUGGCAGCCUGAAACGUAUUCAUGUAAGUUCCAGGCACUGAUCAACGACUGGCGACAAAAGUUUCACACGUCUUCUUUGGGGGAAACGAGCGCUACCUUCCCAUUUGGUUUCGUUCAGUUGGCAGGGUAUCGUCAGAGCGCUACAAUGAUCGGAGGGUUUCCUGGACUGAGAUGGGCCCAAACAGCAAACCAUGGCACUGUUCCUAAUCAAGAUCUGAAGAAUGUCUUCAUGGCGGUCGCUAUGGAUCUACCUGACUACA